This 237-nucleotide long non-coding RNA is filed under the name Homo sapiens (human). RNAcentral's name for it is "non-protein coding lnc-NRP2-3:1". Lineage: Eukaryota; Metazoa; Chordata; Mammalia; Primates; Hominidae. The record is from RNAcentral.
CUUAUUUAUUUCCAAAGGCUCCCAUUGCCUGCUAGAUAAAGCCCAUACCUCUCAGCCUGGCAUACAAGUUCUCAUACAGAUGGACCAGACCUUGUCUCCUAGCAUUGCUUCCACACCCCCAGCCCUCCCACAGCCACACCGAGGCCACAGUGAACUGUCACUGUCCCCAGGCUCAGUGCACUUGCAUGCCUUCACACUCUGGCUCCUGUUGCUCCCUUUUCCUAGAUGCCUUCUCUU